RNAcentral lists this ribosomal RNA (286 nucleotides) under uncultured Prevotella sp. RNAcentral's name for it is "partial 16S ribosomal RNA". It matches the Rfam family "Bacterial small subunit ribosomal RNA", at positions 59 to 339 of the family's 1533-position model. Lineage: Bacteria; Pseudomonadati; Bacteroidota; Bacteroidia; Bacteroidales; Prevotellaceae. The record is from RNAcentral.
AGGGGAAACGACAUCGAAAGCUUGCUUUCGGUGGGCGUCGACCGGCGCACGGGUGAGUAACGCGUAUCCAACCUGCCCACCACUUGGGGAUAACCUUGCGAAAGUAAGACUAAUACCCAAUGAUAUCUCUAGAAGACAUCUGAAGGAGAUUAAAGAUUUAUCGGUGAUGGAUGGGGAUGCGUCUGAUUAGCUUGUUGGUGGGGUAACGGCCCACCAAGGCUACGAUCAGUAGGGGUUCGUGAGAGGAAGGUCCCCACCAUUGGAACUGAGACACGGUCCAAACUCC